RNAcentral lists this ribosomal RNA (1174 nucleotides) under Salmonella enterica subsp. enterica serovar Enteritidis. RNAcentral's name for it is "partial 23S ribosomal RNA". It matches the Rfam family "Bacterial large subunit ribosomal RNA", at positions 1133 to 2290 of the family's 2925-position model. The record is from RNAcentral. Lineage: Bacteria; Pseudomonadati; Pseudomonadota; Gammaproteobacteria; Enterobacterales; Enterobacteriaceae.
CGUAAUAGCUCACUGGUCGAGUCGGCCUGCGCGGAAGAUGUAACGGGGCUAAACCAUGCACCGAAGCUGCGGCAGCGACACUGUGUGUUGUUGGGUAGGGGAGCGUUCUGUAAGCCUGCGAAGGUGGCCUGUGAGGGUUGCUGGAGGUAUCAGAAGUGCGAAUGCUGACAUAAGUAACGAUAAAGCGGGUGAAAAGCCCGCUCGCCGGAAGACCAAGGGUUCCUGUCCAACGUUAAUCGGGGCAGGGUGAGUCGACCCCUAAGGCGAGGCCGAAAGGCGUAGUCGAUGGGAAACGGGUUAAUAUUCCCGUACUUGGUGUUACUGCGAAGGGGGGACGGAGAAGGCUAUGUUGGCCGGGCGACGGUUGUCCCGGUUUAAGCGUGUAGGUGUGUGUUCCAGGUAAAUCCGGUUCACUUUAACACUGAGGCGUGACGACGAGGCACUACGGUGCUGAAGCAACAAAUGCCCUGCUUCCAGGAAAAGCCUCUAAGCAUCAGGUAACAUCAAAUCGUACCCCAAACCGACACAGGUGGUCAGGUAGAGAAUACCAAGGCGCUUGAGAGAACUCGGGUGAAGGAACUAGGCAAAAUGGUGCCGUAACUUCGGGAGAAGGCACGCUGACACGUAGGUGAAGUGAUUUACUCAUGGAGCUGAAGUCAGUCGAAGAUACCAGCUGGCUGCAACUGUUUAUUAAAAACACAGCACUGUGCAAACACGAAAGUGGACGUAUACGGUGUGACGCCUGCCCGGUGCCGGAAGGUUAAUUGAUGGGGUCAGCGCAAGCGAAGCUCCUGAUCGAAGCCCCGGUAAACGGCGGCCGUAACUAUAACGGUCCUAAGGUAGCGAAAUUCCUUGUCGGGUAAGUUCCGACCUGCACGAAUGGCGUAAUGAUGGCCAGGCUGUCUCCACCCGAGACUCAGUGAAAUUGAACUCGCUGUGAAGAUGCAGUGUACCCGCGGCAAGACGGAAAGACCCCGUGAACCUUUACUAUAGCUUGACACUGAACAUUGAGCCUUGAUGUGUAGGAUAGGUGGGAGGCUUUGAAGUGUGGACGCCAGUCUGCAUGGAGCCGACCUUGAAAUACCACCCUUUAAUGUUUGAUGUUCUAACGUGGACCCGUUACCCGGGUUGCGGACAGUGUCUGGUGGGUAGUUUGACUGGGGCGGUCUCCUCC